Long non-coding RNA from Trachemys scripta elegans, 937 nucleotides. RefSeq lists it as uncharacterized. The transcript has 3 exons. Lineage: Eukaryota; Metazoa; Chordata; Testudines; Emydidae. The record is from RefSeq and is a predicted model, not a curated record.
CAAUCGCAGCCAAGAAUGAAAUAUAAUGAAAAAGGGAAUUUCAUUUAUUAAAUUGCUCUCUCUCAUUUUUUUUAGCCACAGCAGUUGCUCUCGGUCGCUUCAUUCCCAGAGCUCCCUGCAGGAUCCAGAACAGCAACCACAUGUGAGCCACAUAUUUAAGCAGAGAUGGUGGGCAGUUGUUACCAAUGUGUCUGUGUUAACCCCUUGGAGAUAGUCAUCACUCAUGGUGCUGGCAAAUGCUGGAUGGAAAAUGCCAGUAUUCAAAGUGUUAAGUAGCUCAGUUGGCGAGCCACUGGUUCCACAGAACUGGAACAUCACCUUUUCAGAGCGUUGCAGGAAGAGGAAGUCUGCCUCUUUGAUCACAAGGAUUUGGUUGCAGUCAAGCUGCGGAAUAGCCCUGUAAACGCCUAAUGGUCUGGAAUACAUUAUAACCAAUGCAAUCAACAGUCAGCUGUUUGAACUGCAAUCAGAACAGACUGUUUCGGGAAGCGAGAAGAGUACUACAGGAUUCUAGUCUCUCAUGACCUUUCCCCCAACACCCUUUGUCUGAGGGUAAACAGAAGAGUAACUUGAAGCUAUAAGAAAAACAAAGAGCUGUUUUCUGGUACACAAAGGGAUGUAGGGGAAUUUUGUGAAGAGAGCAUUUCCCAAUUCCUUUGGACCAACAGCAUUCAUAGAAAGAAUGAUCAUUACAAUAGGCUACAAUAGGUAUAUUUGUCUCAGUAAUUGUCGUAAGUGACUGAGAUGCCCUGACCGAAUAAGGUGCAUUACUUAAGACUCUACUGCAAACAGCCAGAAAAUCUUGAUAAAGUACUCUGCACACACUUCUUCAAGCUAGUUAGAAAAUGGGGAAAUGAUUUCACUAACAUUUUUGAUGUUGUUUCCAUUUUGCCAUUUGGAAUGGACCCAUUUUCUGUUUUUCAUGAAAUUCUCCACA